ACCCAGCUGGCUCAGUUGGUGAAGCAUGUAACUCUCGAUCUUGGGGUUGUGAGUUCGAGCCCCACGUUGGGUG
This 73-nucleotide transfer RNA is filed under the name Felis catus (domestic cat). It matches the Rfam family "tRNA". From Rfam's summary of the family: Transfer RNA (tRNA) molecules are approximately 80 nucleotides in length. Their secondary structure includes four short double-helical elements and three loops (D, anti-codon, and T loops). RNAcentral also lists the same sequence under 2 other names. Lineage: Eukaryota; Metazoa; Chordata; Mammalia; Carnivora; Felidae. The record is from Rfam by way of RNAcentral.